This 244-nucleotide ribosomal RNA is filed under the name uncultured bacterium. RNAcentral's name for it is "partial 16S ribosomal RNA". It matches the Rfam family "Bacterial small subunit ribosomal RNA", at positions 116 to 354 of the family's 1533-position model. The record is from RNAcentral.
CGUGGGUAACCUGCCCAAGAGACUGGGAUAACACCUGGAAACAGAUGCUAAUACCGGAUAACAACACUAGACGCAUGUCUAGAGUUUAAAAGAUGGUUCUGCUAUCACUCUUGGAUGGACCUGCGGUGCAUUAGCUAGUUGGUAAGGUAACGGCUUACCAAGGCAAUGAUGCAUAGCCGAGUUGAGAGACUGAUCCCCCACACUGGUACUGAGACACGGACCAGACUCCUACGGAAGGCAGCAG